This 23398-nucleotide long non-coding RNA is filed under the name Theobroma cacao (cacao). RNAcentral describes it as "long non-coding RNA (TCAC_LNC002244)". The record is from RNAcentral. Lineage: Eukaryota; Viridiplantae; Streptophyta; Magnoliopsida; Malvales; Malvaceae.
UCCCAUUGCAUAGAAGUUAAUCAAGACCCUUGUGUUCCGAUCAAUAUGAUGACCGCUUGGAAGGAUGUCCGGUUGAAUUGCAGUUUUGUGGUUAAUAGGUACUGCUGGAUAAAGCCUUAAUGUUUCACGUAAAACAGCAUCAAGGUAAACGAAUCUAUUCAGCCCUUCCACGCUAAAAAACAUAUUCUUCUCAUCAUUGAUUGAUGGAGAAUUAGCUCUCAUCUCUUGUAGAAGCUUGCUUUCUACGGAUGGAUUCAUUGCAACAAGCCAGAAAAACCAAGAAAGGCUCGCACUUAUGGUAUCUUUCCCUGCUGACAUGAUGUUUACGGCAACGUCUCGUAGAAACUUGUCAGAUUUUCCAUCAGCACUAGUCAUUUCCCCUUCUUCUUGGACCAUAAAAGCUGUUAUGAAGUCAUAUUUAUCUUCCUUACCCAGUAAUUUGCAUCUUAAUUUUUCUCGUUUUGAUGCAAUGCACUGAUAUAGAAAAGUAUCAAUGGUUUUUAGAGCUUUGCUCAACUUUUUCUCCUCUCCAAUUUGAAGCCAUCUUUGCAACUUCCACAAUCUCAUAGGCAUCAGAUGCCUGUACAACAAACGCUCUUCUGCUUGAAUGAAUGCCGUUUUUAUCGGAACUUCAGAUAAUUCUACUGAAAGAGAACAUGGAUCAAAGCCUACAGCCAACAAGCACACAACGUCGUAGCUGAACCGUUGCAAUACAUCCUGAAGGUCAACCUCAAUCCCAAGUUUCAUGAAGUGCUCCAGGACUACGAUUAAACUUUUCUCUAGUUUUUCACGCAAGAUUCUGUGGAAAUGUAGCACAAACUUGUCGUCUUUCAUCAACAGCAACAUCACCUUCCGCUGGCUUUUCCAUGAAUGAGAGUUUGAGUUAAAUAUUCCUUCACCCAAACAGUCGAAAAAUAUUUCAUUGAACUCAGACCCCUUCUCGUAGCUGUCGAAGUUUUUGCACAAGAUGUGGUUGGCAUUCAUAUGAUCAGCCGUGAUAAUGAAAUCCAAGCUCGGAAACCAAGGUCCCCUGAUCUCGAAAGUGCCCCCACUUUGUCUGACACAAUCGUUCGAAAACGCAAAAAUUCUCCUUGCGUUGUAGAGAAUCCCCGGCAGCAUUCCAACAAUAGGCCAGUUGGUGAUGGGCGGGGACUUCCUAUUUUGAUAGAGGUAUGAAAGAAAUAGAGGAAAGAAAAUUGCCGCAAGUAUGAGGAUGGACUCAAAUUGUGCCAUUGGAGACGGCAGCUUUUCUCUUGUGCUUCUGCUUUUCUAACUUAGGCUGCUUUAUAGAGAUGGUUGGCAGUAUAUAUAGCCACAGAAAUGUGGGAAACUCGUUGCAAUUACCACAUGCAAAUUCCUUCGUUCUAUGCAGAGUGCGGUGAACUUGGUUUGAUCAACGAAAAAGGACAAGGGUAUAUUAAAUAUCAACAGUGACUGGGAGCCCAACUCUUUCUUUUGCAUAUUUACAAUAUAUAGUUGUUCGAUAAAUAAUUAAUGACCGAAAAGUUAGUUGAUUUGUUGACUGUAGCAAGUUUAAUUGCAUGCUUCGGAAGCAAUUUCAAACUUGUCCAUGAAUAUGAUGCAAUGCACUGAUAUAGAAAAGUAUUUCAUUGAACUCAGACCCUGCUUGGAUUAGACCCACAACCAUAUGUACUAGGCAUUAGGUUAGGCAAUGGAUAGAGAUAUUGAAUAAAACUUGGCAGAAGUUCCUUCCCUUAAAAAUGGUCCUAACUUGUUGAAAUAGUGAUAAAAGUUCCAAGCUUUAAAUUUUUGUGAUUUUUUUUUCAGUUUUUUUUUUAUUUUUUUUUCUUCUUAUGAUCAUAAAUUAAUAAAAUUUUUCAUUGAAAAUAAAUUACUUAUUAAUAAUUUUAAUCGUUAAAUACAUAUGAAAAAAAUAGUAUUUUCGAUUGAUAGAUGAAAAUAUUGGAUUGACAUUGAAACUUUUCAUUAAUGAAGACACGAAUAUAUUGUUAAAUAUAACAAUUAAUUUUUUAAGAUAUUUAUCAAAUAUGAAAUUUUUUUAUUGGAAAAUUUUAUCAUAGCAUUGCUUAAGUCCAACUUGGGAUUAAACAUGGCAUAUCUGAUCCCGUAACACUUGUCUAGCUUUUAGUUUUAUUUGAAAAAUGGAGGAUCCUAACUCUUACUUUUAGGUUAAUAUAGCUCAUAUAGUAAUUUUUUUAAAGGUCAUGUAUAUAUUUUGGGGCUUUGAAUUUGUUUGCAGUCUCCAAAAACACUUUGAAAUUUUUUAUAAAGUUAUUAGUCUAACCAAUAUUAGAAUAAUCCUUUAAAAAUUCAUGCUUCAUUAAUUGCUAACAUUAAAAGCAAAAGUGAAGAAAUUGCUUCCACAAUUAAAAAUUCAUUUGAAAUGGGCCCAAGCCUAAUGACUAAUAAACAUUACUCUCAAAGCCCGAGCACAUGCAUUAUUCUUAAAUCAAGAUACCACCACGGCAACAGCUGAUUUGUGGUGUUAUUAAUUGACAUCAUGAUGAUCAACAAUAAUCAUAUAUGCUUAAUCUAGAAUUCAUCCUUGUGUGAAACUCCCUCAAGCACUCCUUUUCUUGAUCCUAACCUUUAAACCAUUCUUCAUAUGAAGCACCACGGCAUUGCUUGGGCAAUAUGAUGGCCUUUUGGGUAGACCCAAAAUUCUAGUGUAGUGCUUUUAAUUUGACAACGAUUUUGACCACCUUCCAUUUAGAACUGGGUAAAGUGGUAAACAUAAAAAUUGUAGCCCAGUCUCUUAGCUUUUUAAUGGUAUAAAAAUCAGGUCAGUAGGACUUCUGUAGUGGGAGAUAUAUUAGAAAAAUCGAAACAUAUGCAAACUAAGACUAUUUCUCACUACAGUGAGAAACUUGCUAUCCUGCUUGCUACCUUGCUUGAUUUUGAUAUAUUUUUCACCCAUUUAACUUCAUGGAUUGAUCGUGGGUUUUUGAAACACUAUGGGGUUAUUAAUCAAAGUUUGAAAUGAGGGGUUUUUAGUAAGAAAUUAAAUCAAUUGCAUUGUUUUUGAAACAAGUGCAUCAUGAUUUUCAAGUUCUCCUUAUUGAUUGCUUGUUUCCUUCUUAUGUUCACUCACUGAGUUUUAUACUCACGUUUUUAAACUUCAUGUUUUCAGAUUCAAAGAUAGUUGGGACUUAGAUUGAGUGUCCACAUAUGCUCGUCUUCUUGGUAGGUACUAUGGCAUCUCAGUAGCUGUACCUUCACCCACGGUCACUCCGUUGACGGUCAAGAGUCUAUUACUUGUGAACGCGUAUAUGUAAUGUAACCCACUAGGAUCCAUGUUAUAAGUCAAAUAUGUUUAUUUGAUUACUGAUGCCACUAUGAGUUGGCAAACGAGUGACAUUAUUUUGACAUAAUAAAAUUGUAAAUAUUGGGUCACUAUAAAAUAUUACUGAAAUAUUUUAGUAGAGAAUUACAAUAUGUGGUUUUAGAAAUGAUGGUUGAGAAUGAUGAUCGGGAUUGCAUAAAAAGGCUAGCUUGGGCUUAGUGGGCUAUGCCCAUUGAGCCCAUGCGCCGGUCAUGGCUUGAGAUUUGGGUUGUGACAAAAAACUCCAAAAAGGAGCUUUCUUUUCUCUUCUUUUAAAACACGUAAACUUUUCAAGAAAUACCUCUCUUAAUCAAUCUCCUUCUCCUCUCCUUCCCUAUGCAAAUCACCUUUCUCUAACACAAAUUGUGAUCUCCCUUUCCUUUACCUCUCUCUACAAAGACUACUAGAAAAAAAUGAAAAAAAUAGAAGACCCAGCAACAGAAUAGUAAACUCUAGAAUUUUUUUGUUCCUAUAAAGAUUUAGAGAAAAGAAGACCCAAAAUUCAAAGCUGUAUUCAUAUACUAUUUAAAAGUUUUCUCUAUUCUUCACCAAAAAGGAUUUUAAUGUCAAAUACUUCAUUUCCUCUUUUCUCUUCUUUCAUGGAGAAUUGAAGCAUCAUGGUCUGAUUGCUUGCUAGAUUAACAAAAAUAUAAUACUAUUACUACUAUACAAGUUUAAGAGUUGUUUUGUUUCUUUAUGGAUUUCUUUGAUUUUAACAUUUGAAAUCAUAUAUAAACUUGAAGCAAACUUGUUUCACUUUAGUUUAUUAAGUAAAUUAGAGAUGGCAUGAAUACCUUUUCUGAUAAUUUUAACCAAAAUUUGAGCUUGUAUAAUUUAUUUUGCCAAAUAGUUUAUGAAACAACUUUAGCUUAAUUUUAAAAGUUAUGAUUUUUUAUAAGAACUUAAUAAUAGCUUUUAAGCAAAAAAAAAAAAAAGUUAAGCUAAACAGUCUCUAAAUCUCUAAGCCACUUCCUCCAUAUUAUUAGUCCAAUAAAUUGCAUUCAUAGAACCGUUUUUUAUCCAUAAAUUGUAAUCAUUGUUGUGCACACUAUUGGUGAAAAAAUACAAAACUUCUUUAAUGGCCAAUAAUNAUAAGAACUUAAUAAUAGUACUUUUAAGACAAAAAAAAAAAAAGUUAAGCUAAACAGUCUCUAAAUCUCUAAGCCACUUCCUCCAUAUUAUUAGUCCAAUAAAUUGCAUUCAUAGAACCGUUUUUUAUCCAUAAAUUGUAAUCAUUGUUGUGCACACUAUUGGUGAAAAAAUACAAAACUUCUUUAAUGGCCAAUAAUUCAACUUUGUUCAAAUCCACAACCCCCAAGGACUUAGAGAACUUUACCUUGACCAUGCCAUUACAAGAUUGUAAAAUUCCUCUUAUUCCAACUUCACUCGAACCACUUGAUGAUGCCCCGUCCACAUUAAAUUUCAGCCAUCCGCUUGGUGGAGCUAUCCAUUUACAUUCCGAUUUUGCAACUUUGUGCCUCUGAAAACUUUUCACAUUAUUAGGAUUAUGAAAAAUCUCUUCCGUUGAAUAUGGCAACUUAGCCCAUUUGGAUUUGACCCACACUACAACUCUUAAUUUAAUGAUCUCAUAUAAUUGAAUCACAGUCCAUUCUUUGCCAUUGAAAAUUAUAUCAUUUCAAAAUUUUCAUAAUGACCAAGUAAUAGUUGUUGUUGGAUUUACAAAGCAAGUGCACAUAUCAUUAACAAAUGUUCAAUAAAAGGACAUUAAUUAUGAAAAAUCUAUUCAUGUUUUUUUUAUGAUGUUAACCCUCUUCCUAAAGAGGAAAAAUAUGAUGAUGAUGUAGGCAUCCUUCAAGAACAAAUUGAGGAAGCUUGAUCUUAAUAUUAAAGGAUCCACAGUGAAUGAAGAAGCAACACAAAAAAAAAGCAACAAAUUAAACAAAUGAUUAUCUAAUUGUGGAUACUAAAUGGAUGUUUAAGAACAAAAUGGAUGAAAAUGGGGCCAUAACUAGAAACAAAGCUAAAUUAGUUGCCAAAGGAUAUAGUCAAGAGGAAGGAAUAGAUUACGAUGAAACUUAUGCUCCAGCAACUAGACUAAAGGCCUUUAGGAUGCUCUUAGCCUUUGCAUCUAACAUGAAUUUCAAACAAUGUCAAAUGGUUGUGAAGAGUGCCUUCUAAAUGGACUCAUAAAUGAAGAAGUAUAUGUUGAACAACCUCCCCAUUUUGAGUAUCUUAUUUUUCCAAAGGGGAAAUUUUUUUUUUUAGCGUUUAAAAAUAACGUGUUUUGUAAAUAAGCCUCUAGAUAAUUUUAACUAUUUGUAGCCACGAGAAUAGAUUUUGGUACAAAAAUGCCCUUAAUGAGCCAUCUUCGUUGAGGUGCACUCUCAAACAACCAAAAAAUGGGAAAAUAAAUAUGUAAAGAAUUUACGACAUAUAAUUUUGUACAAAACAUCCAUUUUUUUCCUCGAAGCUUGUGCAAAACAAAAUAAUGUUGUAUGAGAUGGUUUUUCAAAGAUUUUGGACGUGGCAUUCAGAUAAUAAGAGAAGAGUGAUAUUGAAUUGAAUGAGGAACCGGUCGUGAUGAAUUGAAAAGCUUGGAGAAUGGUGUAAAACUAGAAAUCCCUGAUACGGUGGUGAAUCGAAAGGAGAAAGAUGUGAAUCCAAAGCACAAAAUGAUCGUGCUACAGCAGGCCAUAUGUGAGAUGGUUGUGGCAAGGUAGGGUUUAGAGUUUGUGAAACGGCAUGUUGGGAAUGUGUGACAUGACAUGGUGAGAAUGUGACACGGCAGAGUUUAGAGUUUGUGACACGACAGGGUUUAGAGUUUGUGACACGACAUGGUUAGAAUGUGUGACAUGGCUGUGACAUGCCAUUGUGGGAAUGUGUGACACGGUUGUGACACGCCAACAUUCAGAGUUGGUGACACUCGACGGAGAAAAUCUGUGACACACCAGAGUUUAGAGUUCGUGACACACCAUGGAGGGAAUUUGUGACACGUCAGCGUUUAGAGUUCGUGACACACCAUGGGAGGGAUCUAUGACAUGCCAGCAUUCAAAGUUCGUGAUACGUCAUGAAAGGAAUCUGUGACACGCCAGCGUUUAGAGUUCAUGACACGCCAUGGAGGGAAUCUAUGACAUGCCAACGUUCAGAGUUCGUGACAUGCCAUGGAGGGAAUCUGUGAUACGCCAACAUACAGAGUUUGUCAGACUUCAUGGAGAUCUCUGACACGGCAUGACAAUCGAUGGGUGACACGACAUGCUUUGAGAAAGGAAAAAAAGUGGGCAAUUAACGAGGAAACCGAUUGGACUGCAACUGAACGAAUUCAAUAAAUGAAUAUUUAUAGAGGAAAUUGUGAGGCCAUUUCAUUUUAAUUAAAUAUUUUCCAAAAAUUGUAAAUGUCUACAUUCUUCCUCAUUCCUCAUUCCCAAAUAUACCAGAGUGUUCGACUUUUUUCUUUGCAAGCUUGACGACACCACAUUAGCAAUGUCGGUUAUCAGUGAAGAGGUCAGUCAGUCUAAAAAUAAAACUUUUAAAACUUUUUUCAAUUCAUUGAUUUUUUACUGGUUUUGUGUGAUAUGUUCGUGUUUUUUCAAUCUUUUUCAAUUGUUAUGUUUAAAUCGUUUUCUUCUCGAUUUUAGGGUCGUAUCAAAGUUUUGAAAUACAACAAAUAUGGCGUGUAGUGGGUAAACAGCUUUUAGGGGUUUUUAGUGUGUCACGACAUUGAUUAUUUUAGGGUAGUUUGUGUAACGGGUCAGUAAUUACACUGAUUGGCGUGUCACACGCACUAGUAUUUUAGGCUAGUUCGUGUAAGGACACAGAAAUUAUAGUGAUUGGCGUGUCAGCGUUGGCGUGUUACAACAUUUGACUUGAUAUGCAUGGCAUGUUACAACAUUUUACGUUAUAUGCAUGGCGUGUUGCCACAUUUUACGAUAUAUGCAUGGCGUGUUACAACAUUUUACGUUAUAUGCAUGGCGUGUUGUCACAUUUUACGAUAUAUGCAUGGCGUGUUACAACAUUUUACGUUAUAUGCAUGGCGUGUUACCACAUUUUACGUUAUAUGCAUGGAGUGUUACAACAUUUUACGUUAUAUGCAUAACGUGUUACCACAUUUUACGUUAUAUGCAUGGCAUGUUACAAUAUUUUACGUUCUAUACAUGGCCUGUUACAACAUUUUACGAUAUAUGCAUGGCGUGCUACAACAUUUUACGAUAUAUGCAUGGCGUGUUACAAUAUUUUACGAUAUAUGCAUGGCGUGUUACAAUAUUUUACGAUAUAUGCAUGGCGUGUUACAAUAUUUUAUGUUAUCUGCAUGGUGUGUUACCACAUUUUACGUUAUAUGCAUAACAUGUUACAACAUUUUACGUUAUAUUCACGGCGUGUUACCACAUUUUACGUUACAUGCAUGGCAUGUUACCACAUUUUACGUUAUAUGCAUGGCGUGUUACCACAUUAUAGGUUAACUCACUCGUGCAUGUGUAUCAUGUUUUGCAGAUGCAGUCCAGAAAGUAUGAGGAUCUUGACAAUUUGCUUAUUGUGUCGAGGGAGAAGCGGGCAUUCAAUGUCACUAUUAACACCCACUGUAAGUGGUUGCAACUGCAUUACAUCAAUAAGACCCUCCAAGAGAAAGUGGAGUAUAAUGCAGUGAAGCGUACAUGCUUUGGAAUGCUGCUGAACGUAUAUCUGUAAGGUUACUUCUCCUCUAGUCUCCUGCAUAACAUCAUGAUCUGUUGAAUCACUAUGAUAGAUUCAAUGGAGCAUGAGCUAUGGUUUGCCAUUGGGAAAAGUAAGGUGCGCAUAUCAAAGUAGGAGUUCUGCCUUAUCACCGAACUGAAGUUUGGUCGAAUGCCAGAUGUGUUCACACGACCUUAUGAGGUUGUUGCGGAUGGAUUUCAUGCGCGAUACUGAAACGGGUAGCAGAGCAUUAAGCUGCAGGCCUUGCUUGAUACAUUCCAUGGAGGGAACCUUGAACGACCGGGAGACGCGACCAAGAUGGCACUCAUCUUGAUCGCAAAUAACAUUUUAUUUGGUCAAGACUACCGUAGACGGAUGACGCCUUGGCUCUUGUCGUUGGUGGAGGAUAUCGAUGCUUGGAAUGUCUUUCCAUGGGGUCACUAUGUUUGGAGGCUGACCUUGAACUACCUUUUUAAAGGGUUCAAAGUGCCUUCCUCGAAUGUGCAAACAGAUCGUUUACGAUACAACAUUUACAAAUUCGCGUGGGUGAUACAGGUACUGUCACGUAACAUUUUUCAUUUUCCUUUUGAUAUAAUAAUUUACGGUCUGAUAAUGGUUAUAUUUGACUUUCAGUUUUGGGCAAUAGAGGCAAUUCCGGCCUUGCGAAAGAUAGUUGCCCCCUCUACUCCAAAGGACAUCUACCCACGUAUGUGCAGACGGUAAUGCAUCCAGAAGCCAAAACACUUCUACAAGGCAGUUGAGAUAUUAGAGUCAUCUCAGUAGGUGAGUGAACAACUACUAAUUUCUGUUGUGAAUUUGUAUAAUAAUUUUCUCAAAAAUUUAAUCACAAUCCCUAUUUUGUAGUUGUGGGCAGUGAAGACUUUGGAACCCACCCCAGAUACGGCCAACCAGGAUUAUUUUGUGGACAUUGAUGUCCCGUUAUCUGAGGGCUACCAAUAUGUGCCAAUAGGGCACAUGGAGGAUCGGGUGGACUGGGGCUUAGGUUCGAGGGAAAAGAAGAGAAACUUGAAGCACAAAAGAGCCACUAGUACAAGCAAGCGGAGGCACACCACUGCUGUUGUCGUCAAUUAGUUGUCAGUCUCCGAGUUUAUGGAGGAAGGUGACAACCAUGGCAAUGGCAGUGAAGAGCCAGUAAGGACGGUUCUAAAGGUUUGUGUUAAACAAUUCCAUAUGCGAUUAUUGAAUAACAUAUAUGUGUUUGCAGUUGGACCAUACGACGACAACUCUACAACCACUAAUAGGUCCUCCUCAGACUCACAGUGCUAACGAGGAGCCAUUAAGGACUGUUAUAACGGUUUAUAUUCAACAAUUCCAUAUGUGAUUAUCGAAUAACAUAUCUGUAUUUACAGUUGGACCAUGUGACGACAGCUCCUUAACCACUGAGUGGUCCUCCUCAAAAGCACUGUGUUAACGACCAGUCGGUAAGAUCAGUUCUAACAGUUUGUGUUCAACAUUUCCAUAUAUGUUUAUCGAGUAACACAUUAAUUUCUGUUAUUGCAAUUGAGGGAGGUGACCACAGCUCCUCAACCACCAAUCGGUCCUACUUAACCACAAAAUGGUAACCAGCUGUCAAUGAGGAAUAUUAAAGUUCUAACGGGUAAUGUUCAACACUUCCAUAUAUGAUUAUUGAAUGACACAAUAAUAUAUGUUAUUGCAGUUGACCCAUUCGACAAGAGUCAAUGACAGAUUAGUCACGAAGCGUCAGCUACGACGAAUCAUGCACCGGUAUAAAAAAGACAUGUCGGAGCUGAAGGCUUCAAUUCAGUGAUUGACUCUGGCGAUGCAAACGUUUGAGGACCAAGUUGUUGCUCAGAUUUUAGACGGUUUGAAAUCAUAGGUACAUUAUUCUAUCUUCGCUCAUAUAUUGGUCGUUUACGUUUAGUAGGUGUAGUUCUAUUAUUUGUUCUCAGUUUAUGGUUUUUGGUAUUAUAUGAGCUAACGAAUUUUUCAAUUUGUCUCGUUCUAUAGGCCGGUCCUUCAUCCCAUGGUGCUGGUGAGGACCACGAUGAUGCUGAUGAUGGGCACCAUGAUGAACCUAGUGUGCACAUUCACGAUGACGUUGCUGGUGCUGAGGGAAACCCUAUUUCUGAGACCGAUCCGGUUAUCGAUGCAUCUGUGGGAGGGGAGGGGGACAUUCAUUCAAUCGUGGGUGAAAGAGAGGAUCUUCCUCAGGCCGACGCAUUAGUGGAGGCAGCAGCAGGAGGGGACCAUCUUCCUUAUAGCACUCAUGAAGCCAGCGACUCACGGUUAUUGUCACUAAAGUCAUCUGAUGUCCAUCAUCAUGCAGCAGAAAUUUCAGACCCAACUGAGUAAGCAUGGGUGAAAAUGGUGAGCAAAUAUAAGGCAAGCCCAUACGUUGACCCCUUAGUGAGCCAUCGGGAUGUAAAGAGCACAACGGUUGAAGUGUACGAAGCUUUCAAGAAAGACGAAUGCGAGAGGUAAGCUCAUAAAUAACAUUGCAAAUAUUGUUAUUUAAUGAAACAUUAAUCCACCAAGGCUUUUCAAACUCAUUCUGUUACAUAUGCAAAUGUAACGUAGGGAUUUUAAGGGAUCAAGGGGCUGACUUUUUCACAAUAUUAGAAUAUCUCAAAGAAGAAAUGAGUAGUGAACAUAUAGGCGCAUGCCUCAACGUACUUUGUAAGCAGAUGACAGGGUCGAAGUUGAAGUUGUACACUACCCCGUGCAUGCGUGGUUGACACAAUAUUCUUCGUAAGUUUAUUUAAAAAAUUUUCAAUUCUAAAAAUAUUAAGUUUUUUAUUACAUUAAGUGUAAGCUAAUGUAUACAUGCUUCACAGGACACCAUCCAUAUGCUACACACCUUAUUUCCAACUGAAGAUGCCCGGUCGACUAUGAAAAUUUCAGAUGAGUUAUGGGCGUAUGUGGAAGGUGAGAAGCCGACAUACGAAAAAAAAAGGGAAGAUGUCGAUUUCAUCCUCACACCUUGCAAUGUGGGUGGGCAUUGAGUGGUAGCGAAGAUCGACUUGGUGAGGUGGACAAUCAAGGUUGUGGACUCCAAAAGAACUUCGGAUGCUAAGGAUAACAGAGUGCGAGUGGCUCAAAUGAUACCUCUUACGACAAUUAUGCUAAUCAUCUGCCACCAAGCCGGUUAUUUCAACAAAACACGUCGAAAAACACUAGUUUUGAAGCUAAUGCCAUUGGAAAUUCAUUUACCAAAAGCUAAAGUACAUCGACAGGAUGAUAGUGUCAGCUGCGGUAUGUUCAUGAUAUGGUAUAUUGACGAUAUUUGCAAUCGAAAUCGAUCAGAGUUAAGCAGAAUAUGAUUGCAAAUAUGAGUCACCAAUACGCUGUAGAAAUUUUUUUUCAGUAGUUGUGAGAGCGAACCAUGAACAUAUCGACCUUUGUCUGUACAUUUUUUGUAUAUACAAUUAAUUUGAUUAAUUUUAAUAUUUGUACAUUUUAUACAUUAGUUUUUACUUCUCAAUUCAAACACACUGCCUUUAAAUUAAUACUGCAACCACGUGGCGUGUCACACAAUUGGGGCAUGGCAUGUCACCCCUGAAAACUGGAAUAUGUCAGCUUGUCACACCAAGUAUCUGGUUCCACUUAGUGUGUCACCACAAUUGGGGUGUGCUGUGUCACCCCACAAUACUGUAAGAAGUCAGCAUGUCAUCACAUAAAUUUGUAUGCACUCAACGUGUCACGUAAACUAUCUGCUUACACUCAGCGUGUCACCACAAGAUGGGGCAUGCUGUGUCACCCCACAAUAAUGCAAGAAGUCAUCAUGCCACCACAGAAAUCUGCAUGCACUCAACGUGUCAGCUUAGCAUAAUAUAUUUUUCAAAAAUUUUCGUCCUUAUAUUUUAAUUUUAUUUUUAAAAUAUUUUAAUUUAAUAAAAAUUAAUUAUGAUGAUUCAUAGAUGAAAUUUGAUUGGAUAAUCCAUAAAUUUUUUUAAAUUUGUUUGGUCAAGUCAUGUGUUUUAAUCUUAAAUCUCAUAUCAUAUGUUUUUAAUUAGUCCAAAAUUUUUUCUCUUUCUACACUUGCAUCCUUUAAAGUAACUCCUUGGUACAAUAUUAUUAUUAUUAUUAUUUUGUUAAGUGAUUGGCUUAAAGUUUAAUAUGGAGGUAUUAAUAAGAUAAAAUAAAUGUUAUAAUUAAAAAAUUACAAAAACAAAUUGAAUAUGAGGAUUUAGAAAGCUACUAAAGUUAGAUGAAUUAAUUUUUUAUCUCUUAAGAGAUUUGAUUGUAAAAACAUAAAAGGUUAAAUCAAAUGAAAUAAAAAGAAAUUAAAUUAAAUAAUUAAUUAUUUAAUACAAGUCAUAAUAAAAUGUGAGAAAGGGGAUAACAGUAUAGGGACUUCGCAAGUCUAUUCAAUGUUCCAAACUACGGACAAAAUGAAAUGAAUAAUCAAAUAAUAUAUCUACAAAAUUAAUAAAAACAAUAAAGACUCAUCUACAAGAGGAAACUAUGCUACACAUCCAUAUACACAUUUAGUUAGGCUGACAAGCUGUCUUCAUCCACAAGACACCCUACAUUUUAAGACAUUAUCCUUCAUAUUGGACAGUUGUUGCGUGUGUGACCAGUUUGUCUGCAACUUGAACAUGCUUUCGGUCAGUGCACUCUUAGAGGAGCCGAUUGACUUGGAGAUGGUGCCAAUUUGUGGAUGGAACUGCAAAUGGUGAUUGGCAAUUCUGUCUGUUAUGGUCGUACCUCUUGCAUUGCGAACAUCUUUGUGCUCGAUUGCUUUCACCAGCCGAUGGAAUCCUUCUCCUCCUAGGUCUUCCCGUUUGGCCUUGCCAAGGUGGUGGCAAGAAGACAAUUUAUUUCACAUGAGGGGGGAUGUCCCACUCGUUAGGAUUCCCUAUUGGGCGAAUGGACCUCGCAUAAUCCUUCACCAAAAUGGUUGUCUUAUAGUAGUCAGCGCAGAAUUCAGUGGCUUCAUGUUUGCAUUUACUGAAAUAUACAAUGAACUCAAUGUUCAAGCACAAUGUAAAUACUAUGUCAAUUAGGGUUCAAAUAAGAAAUAAAGAUAUCCUGACCUUAUUGUUGCAAUGGCAUGGUUGCAUGGCAGUAAACUUGUUUGGAACUCACAACAUGAACACGUCUUCGUGGAUAGGUUUACAAGUCUGUCCAUCUUCCCGUCUUUAACUUCGAACUCCACUCAAUUGAUAGGUUUAACCACAAAGUGAUGUGCAUCAUUGAACUGUUUGCUCAACUGCUUGGCAACCUAAAGGUUGAGGGGCGUGGUCACCUUGACGGCCUCGUCAUACCGGUCAUGGAACUAACGCUAGAACAUGUCUCUGAUGAACUCGAUCAAAACAGUGAUUGACAUUUGUCUUGCAUGCUUCAAGCAUGAGUUAACACAUUCCGCAAUGUUGGAUGUCAUCAUUUGGUAUCGCCUAGCUGGUGAACAGGCACGUGCCCAUCUUUCAGGGCCUAUUCUCAUAAAGUCGGCAUGGGCUCCCGCAUGAAUCUGCUUGAGCUGGUUCAUAUGUUUGUUGAAAUCGAACAAUUGAAAAUUAUGGUGAUAAGGAACCUAUUUGAUUGUCCUAUCUUUAUACAAGAAUAUUCUAUAUAGAAUAGAAAAUGGUAAAAAUUUUGAAGUAAGGUAAUGCUGAAAUAUGUGAAUAAGCUUUGUCAAGCUAGAGACUGAUAUAUGGUAGAUAGUCCUGCAGGGAUGUGUAUAUCUAUUAAGAAUUGCAGCUUGUAACUCUUAGAAGAUAACACAAAGAAACCUUUUGAGAUAUAGAAACAUAAAUUACCUGGUAAUAAAUUGGCCUGUCUGUGUGGUUGGAAUGCUUCCUAUUGUGACUUAAGUUUUUAAGCAUUCAAUGGCUAUGGAUGCUGUAUACAAAGGUGAAUGAAAACAGAACAUGAACCAUCAGUAAAAAGAACAACAUUCAUUUUCAUUGAUUUCAGUUUUUAGUACAAAGAAGUAAUGGUACAUAACAUACCAAAAGUAUAUGACACUUAUUUACGGCAUAAUACAGGUGCUUUUUUUUUUUGAAGUUCAUUAAUUAAAUUCUUAUUCGAUUCUAAUGAAAAUCACCAAACUAAUAAAUGUAAUCUCUUGUUUCUUACAACCACAUGACUGCAAGUCAAUCAAACAUCCUUCCGAGAAGGACAUGUUCAAUCACACAUUCUUAUUUAAAAUAUUUUAAUAAUAUAAUUAACAUACAAUGACGGAUUGGGUUAGAUCAAGUUUAGGAUUUUAAGGUAUUAAUUGAAUUUAACGCGUCCCAACUUGACCUAUGAACAUCUCUAUUUUAAAGAUUUAUUUUUUCCCUUCAUUUAACUAUUGUACUAUAAGGAAUCAUUGUAGUAUUUGAGUUUGAAUGUUUUAGUAGGAGAAUAUAUAAGUAAAAUAAAAUUAAUAACCUCUAUGUAGAGCAUUAAAUUGCUCUAACUUAUCAUGUUCUUUCCUUUAUGUUACCUUACUUUCUUCUCUGUUUUUUCUUAGAAAAAAAUUAACAUACAUUGAUCAUAAUGAAAAAAAGUAGUUGGCUGAUAUGAAACAAGGUGUAUAUAUAUAUAUAUAUAUAUUGUUACUUGCAUGCAUAAUUAAAUUACAAGCAUGAAAUCUUAAGGUUGCAUGCCUUUAUGUGUUCUACUGCUGGGCUUAAGUAUUUCAAGCUACAAAAAUUUAGGGUUGGGCUUAGACGCUCACCGACUGUAACAAAUUGGCCCGUCAUUGGGAUGGUGCCAGGACUUGUUGGCAACAACUCUGUAGAUACGAAGCACUUUACCAAAAUUAUGAUACAGCAUGGGGGCACUUUCGAGUUUAAGGGCCUAGGUUUCCUAGAUUAGACAUUUUUAUCAUUAGUGAUCCCAUGAAUAUCAAUCACAUCUUGUGCAAAAAAUCUGAUAACUAUGUUGAGAAAGGUUCUGAAUGUAGGGAAAUAUUUAUGGAUACAUGGGGGAAGGAAUAAUCAAUGCAGACUUGCAUUCAUGGAAAACUCAAAUGAAGAUGUGGAUGUCGUUGAUGCAUAAUAGCAAGUUUACAAGGCGUGUAGAGAAAAUCCUUUGGCAGAAGUUGGAAAGUAGCCUAUUUUCAAUGCUUGAGCGUUUCAUGAAACUUGAUGCAGAGGUAAAUCUUCAAGAUGUAUUUCAACGGUUCACCUAUGACAACAUAUGCUUGUUGGUGUUAGGCUUCGAUCCAAGCUCUCUUUCCAUUGGAUUCCCAGAAGUUCCAAGCAAAGUGGCAUUCACUCGUGGAGGAGGUUUUGGUAUAUAGACACAUGGUUCCUAUAAGUUUUUGGAAGUUACAAAAAUGGCUUUAAAUUGGAGAGGAGAAAAAAAUGAGUAAAGCUCUAGAAAUCCUUGAUAAUUUUGGAUACCAAUGCAUUUCAUUGAAACGAGAGGAACUAAAAACCAAAUCACGAAUGGAGGAAGAUGAAUUUGACUUGCUGACUGUUUUUAAAAACACACCAACUCUUCAUAAAAUACCCCACUUCCUUAAAUAAUCUCCCUCUCCUCUCAUUCCCUCUGCAUAUCACUUUUCUCCAACGUAAAUUGCGAUCUCCCUUUCCUCUACCUCUCUCUACAAAGACUAUUAAAAAAAAAUAGAAGACCAAGCAAUAGAACAGCAAAAUCUAAGAUUUUUUUGUUCUUACAAAGAUUAAGAGAAAAAAAAAACCCAAAAUUCCAAGCUGCAUUCGGAUACUAUUUAAAGUUUUUCUCUCGUCUUCAUCAAAAUGGAUCUUAAUAUCAAUACAUCGUGUCCUUUCUUCUCUUCUUUCUUGGAGAAUUGAAGCAUCAUGAUCCGAUUGCUUGUUAGAUCAACAAAAACCUAAUAUUAUUACCACUAUUCAAGUUUGAGAGUUGUUUCAUUUCUUUAUGGAUUUCCUUGAUUUUAGUAUCUGAAAUCAUAUAUAAACUCAAAACAGACUUAUUUUGUUUUAAUUUAUUAAGUGAUUGGAGAUGGCAUUAAUACAUUUUAUGGUAAUUUUAAUCAAAAUUAGAAUUUAUAUAAUUUAACAUGCUUCGGAUGCAAUUUCAAACUUCAAGAGCUUUUUCUGUCAAGAAAGAUAUAUGUUUUACCUACUUGGAUUAGACUCACUACCAUAUGUACUUAAGCAUUAGGUUACGCAAUGGAUAAAGAUAUUGAACAAAACUAGGCAAAAGUUCCCUCCCUUAAAAAUGGUCCCAACUUGUUGAAAUAGUAAUAAAAGUUACAAGCUUUGAAUUUAUGUGAUUUUUUUUUCAGUUUUUUUAUUUUUUUCUUCGUAUGAUCAUAAAUUAAUAAAAUUUUUCAUUGGAAACCAAUUAACUUAUUAAUAAUUUCAAUCGUUUUAUAUAUGAGAGAAAAAUAGUAUUCCCGAUUGAUAGAUGAAAAUAUCGAAUUGACAUCAAAAAUUUUCGUUAAUGAAGAUACGAAUAUAUUUUUAAAUAUAACAAUCAAUUUUUUAAGAUAUUUAUAGAACAUGAAAUUUUUUUUCUUGAAAAAUUUUAUCAUAGGUGAAAUUAUAAAAAACAUAAAAUCUAAUUAAUUUUACUAUGAUGUAACUUACUCUUUAAUAUAUAUAUAUAUAUAUAUAUUAUAUAUAUAUUCAUACAUGGCACUGCUCAUGUCCAACUUGGGAUUAAACAUGGCAUAUCUGAUCCCUUGAUACUUGUCUAGCUUUUAGUUGUAUUUGAAAAUUGGAGGAUCCUAACUCUUCCUUUUAUUUUGAUGAAAUAAUACAUAUAAACAUAUUUAUAAUUCUUAGUUGUACAAUAAUGACCGAAAAGUCAGUUGAAUUGAUGACAAUGAUCCUUUGACAGCAAGUUAGGUUAAUAUAGCUCAUAUAGUAAUUUUUUUAAAGGUGAUGUAUAUAUUUUGGAGCUCUGAAUUUGCUUGCAGUCUCCAAAAACACUUUGAAAUUGUUUAUAAAGUUAUUAGUCUAACCAAUAUUAGAAUAAUUCUUUAAAAAUAUAUGUUAGUAAAUAAAUUUGUAAAUCGAAUAUGUCAAUACAUCGAUAUAUAAAAUCUUUUGGAUAUUUCUUUCAUUAAUUAAUUUUAUAUUUCCGACACAAAGUGAGAGCCCAACUCUAGUUUAUUCAAGUAUAUAUAUAUAUAUAUAUAUCUUUUUUUUCAUAUUUUUACUAUUUCCUUUUCCAUUUUUCUUAAAAAAUUGUAUAUACCCAAAAGUUCUAAUUUAUUGAAAUUGAGCAUGGGCUUAAUGUAUGUUUUUGAGGCUAAAUCUUGGGCCCCAAAAAUGCUAAUCAUCAUGAGUUCAAGCCUGAAAUCCCAUUGCAUUUUUGAGUGUGGAUAAAUCACUUUUGUUUGUUUCUCUGAGUACAUCUUCUUAAUUAAGGAAGAAUGCAAAGUCAACAAGACGGGGGAAAAUCUGUGCACGUAUGCAAUGGGGGGAAAUAAAAGUUCAUGAUUCAUUAAUUGCUAACAUUAGAAGCAAAAGUGAAGAAAUUGCUUCCACAAUUAAAAAUUCAUUUGAAAUAGGCCUAAGCCUAAUGACUAAUAAACGUUACUCUCAAAGCCUGAGUACAUUCAUUAUUCUUAAAUCAAGAUACCACCACGGUAACAGCUGAUUUGUGGUGUUAUUAAUUGACAUCAUGAUGAUCAGCAACUAUAUGCUUAUUCUAGAAUUCAUCCUUGUGUGUAACUCCCUCAAGCACUCCUUUUCUUGAUCCUAACCUUUAAACCAUUCUUCAUAUGAAGCACCAUGGCAUUGCUUGGGGCAACAUGAUGGCCUUGAACCACUUGAAUUUGAUAAUUCCAUAGCACAGAGAUAGCGACCAACUUCAUCUGAACGAAGCUUAUUUUCCUACCUAUACAAGUCCUGGGCCCUGCAUUGAAUGCUAUGAAUUUGUGAGAUGGUACGUGUACAAGAUCUCCACGCUCCGAAAUCCACCUCUCUGGUUUGAAUUCUAAACAGUCUUCACCCCAUAUUUCUUCCAUUCUUCCCAUUGCAUAGAAGUUAAUCAAGACCCUUGUGUUCCGGUUAAUAUGAUGACCGCUUGGAAGGAUGUCCGGUUGAAUUGCAGUUUUGUGGUUAAUAGGUACUGCUGGAUAAAGCCUUAAUGUUUCACAUAAAACGGCAUCAAGGUAAACGAAUCUAUUCAGCCCUUCCACACUACAAAACAUAUUCUUCUCAUCAUUGAUUGAUGGAGAAUUAGCUCUCAUCUCUUGUAGAAUCUUGCUUUCUACGGAUGGGUUCAUUGCAACAAGCCAGAAAAACCAAGAAAGGCUCGCACUUAUGGUAUCUUUCCCUGCUGACAUGAUGUUUACUGCAACGUCUCGUAGAAACUUGUCAGAUUUUCCAUCAACACUAGUCAUUUCCCCUUCUUCUUGGACCAUAAAGGCUGUUACGAAGUCAUAUUUAUCUUCCUCAGCCAGAAAUUUGCAUCGUAAUUUUUCUCGUUUUGAUGCAAUGCACUGAUAUAGAAAAGUACCAACGGUUUUUAGAGCUUUGCUCAACUUUUUCUCCUCUCCAAUUUGAAGCCAUCUUUGCAACUUCCACAAUCUCACAGGCAUCAGAUGCCUGUACAACAAACGCUCUUCUGCUUGAGUGAAUGCCGUUUUGAUCGGAACUUCAGAUAAUUCUACUGAAAGAGAACUUGGAUCAAAGCCUACUGCCAACAUGCACACAACGUCGUAACUGAACCGUUGCAGUACAUCCUGAAGGUCAACCUCAAUGCCAAGUUUCAUGAAGUGCUCCAGGACUAUGAUUAAACUUUUUUCUAGUUUUUCACGCAAGAUUCUGUGGAAAUGUAGCACAAACUUGUCGUCUUUCAUCAACAGCAACAUCACCUUCCGCUGGCUUUUCCAUGAAUGAGAGUUUGAGUUAAAUAUUCCUUCACCCAAACAAUCGAAAAAUAUUUCAUUGAAAUCGGACCCUUUUCCGUAGUUAUCAAAGUUUUUGCACAAGAUGUGGUUGGCAUUCAUAUGAUCAGCCGUGAUAAUGAAAUACAAGCUCGGAAACCAAGGUCCCCUGAUCUCGCAAGUGCCCCCACUUUGUCUGACACAAUCGUUAAGAAACGCAAAAAUUCUCCUUGCGCUGUAGAGAAGCCCUGGCAGCAUCCCAACAAUAGGCCAGUUGGUGAUCGGCGGGGACUUCCUAUUUUGAUAGAGGUACGAAAGAAAUAGAGGAAAAAAAAUUGCCGCAAGUAUGAAGAUGGACUCAAAUUGUGCCAUUGGAGACGGGAGCUGUUCUUUUGUGCUUCUACUUUUUAACUUAGGCUUCUUUAUAGAGAUGGCUGGCAGUAUACAUAAAGACAAAAAUAUGGGGAACUAAUUGUAAUUACCAUGGAUGGAAAUCCUCUGCCCUUUUCCCUGCCCCGUUCAUAUGCGUUUAACUUUGUUUAAUCAUAUUAAAAAAAGAGAAAAUUACGAGGAAUAGUCUUUCUUAAUAAAAACAUUUUAAAAAUAAUCAUCAAAAUAAAUUUAACUGUUUUUAGUCAUAUUUAACUAUAAUUUGACAAAAUACUCUUGAAACUAUUUCAAAUAAAUUAAAUCAUUCAUCACAAUUUUUUUCCAUUUAUAUUUCUGAUUUUUUUCUCUCACCAUCCCAAUCUCUCAAAUUUUAUCAAUUUCUUUCUUCGACAUUCGUCUGCUAUACUUUCGAUUUCUCUCUUCUGCAUUUUCAGAUUUAUCUUUCUUAUACUUGUAAGACACCAAGCAAUGGUUUUGAUGUGCUUGGGUGGGUGGUUAUUUGAAAAUUUUGAUUUUUAGGUAUUUUGGGUAAAACUAAAACGGUAGAAAUGAUCAUAGAUGUUUGAAAUAACUUUUAAUUAAAUCAAUUGAAGACCUAGACACCAAUAAGCUCAAAAAAUUGAAAUUUAUAACCCUAGGUUUUCAAAAUAAAUUUUUAUUUUUAUUUUUAGUUGAAAUAGGUGUUUUAGAUAAGAAAAUUUAUGUUUUGAUUUAUGAAAAUAUGUUAAAAACACUUUAAUUGGUGCCAAAUUAUCAAAAAAAAAAAAACAAAAAGAAAUGAAGAGAGUUGAGAGGAUUUAAAAUUUUGGUUCGUAAGUAACAAUAACAUUUUAAACAUUAAAGUGUAACAAAAUGUUUUUGAAUAUAGCGUGUAACAAUAAUAUUUUUUUAACAUGACGUGUAACAACAGUAUUUUUUUUUCAACAUGGCGUGUAACAACCUUUUUAAACCAUGCUGUGUAAUAUUUUUUUGUACAUGGCAUGUAACAACAGUAUUUUUUUCAACAUGACGUGUAACAACCUAACCAUGGAGUGUCACAUGUUUUUGUACAUAACGUGUCACAUGUUUCUGUACAUGACGUGUCACAUGUUGCUGUAUAUGACGUGUAAUAACUUAAUCAUGGCGUGUAACAUAUUUUUGUACAUGGAUUGUAAUAUCAUAACGUGUAAUUUCAUUAAAGGUCCAACUUGGUUAAAAAUAAUUAAAAUUAUAAAGAGAGUUAUUUUUAAAUUCUAGGUUUUUUUGCUAUCUUAUAAAUUCUAGUUUUUCUGAGUUUACAGCAUAUAAACUCUGCAAUUUUUUGAUCUGCAAUGUCGUUUAUUUCUCUCUCCCCCCAACUGAAUCUAACACAAGUUAUACAACUUUUACAACCUAUAAAUCAUUCUAUUACAACCGAAUUAAUUUAUAAACUCAACAACAAUUGGGAGAAGGAUAUAUUAAAUAUCAACAAUAAUUGGGAGCCUAACUCUUCCUUUCGCAUAUCUAUAAUAUAUAGUUGUUCGAUAAAUAAUGACCCAAAAGUUAGUUGAUUUGAUGACUGUAGCAAGUUAAUUUAAUUACUUGCUUCGGAUGCAAUUUCAAACGUCAACAGCUCUUUCUGUCUGGAAAAGAUCUAUGUUUCACUUACCGGGAUUAGACCCACACACAUAUGCACUUAGGCAUUAGGUUAGGCAAUGGAUAGAGACAUUGAACAAAACUUGGCAAAAGUUCCCUCCCUUAAAAAUGGUUCUAACUUGUUGAAAUGAUAAUAAAAGUUACAAGCUUUGAAUUUAUGUGAUUUUUUUUUCUUUGUAUGAUCAUAAAUUAAUAAAAUUUUUCAUUGGAAACCAAUUAACUUAUUAAUAAUUUCAAUCGUUAAAAAUAGUAUUCUCAAUUGAUAGAUGAAAAUAUUGGAUUGGCAUCGAAACUUUUCUUUAAUGAACAUACGAAUAUAUUGUUAAAUAUAACAAUCAGUUUUUUAAAAUAUUUAUCAAACAUGAAAUUUUUUUUUUGAAAAAUUUUAUCAUAAAUGAAAUUAUUAAAAAAUAAAAUCUAAUUAAUUUUACUAUGAUAUAACUUACUCUUUUAUAUAUAUAUAUAUAUUCUCAUACACGGCAUUGCUCAUGUCCAACUUGGGAUUAACAUGGCAUAUUUGAUCCCUUGACACUUGUCUGGCUUUUAGUUUUAUUUGAAAAAUGGAGGAUUCUAACUCUUCCUUUUAUUUUGAUUAAAUAAUACAUAUAAACAUAUUUAUAAUUCUUAGUUGUACAAUAAUGACCGACAAGUUAGUUGAAUUGGUGACAAUGAUCCUUUUAUAGCAAGUUAGGUUAAAACCACACUAUAAUUAAAUUUCAAACUUCAGGAGCUUCCGUCCAAAAUAAGAAGAUAUAUGUUCUACUUACUUGAAUUGGACAUCAACUUUAAUUUUGAACCAAAAUUCUUAAACAUAGGCAAUCGAUGGAGAACGAAACUUAUCAAAAGUUCCCCCCUUAAAAAUAGUCCUAACUUGCUAAAAUAGGAAUAAAAAUUACAAGUUUUGAAUUUAUGUGAUUCUUUUUUCAAUUUGAAACUACGGUGUUUGGUACAAGGGAAGUAAGUAACAUUCCCUGCAAUGUAAAUGACAAAAUUACAUUACAAUGUGUUAGCUGUAAAUUAAUCCUAAUUUUGAAAUGACAAAAACCAUUAUUAAAAUUGCUUGAAUAAAUUUUGAGCUUAACUUCUUCAUGUUCAAAAACCCCUAUGUAUUUGGUUUUGAAAUGUCAAAGUAUCUUCCAUCAAAAAGGUUGAAAACAUAGUGUUUUAUCAAGAGGAAAGCUACAAGGAUCGAUCCCAAGGGUUAAGGGAUCGACCCAUGAUGGACAAAACCGAAUGGUCCCUAUGCUGCUUGCUAGGAUCGAUCCCCUGCUCACAUAAAUUUGAAUCUGCAGCAUAAGGAUCUAUCCCAUCCAUAUAGUCGUUGGAGAGUUAAAAGGGCAUUUUUCAGCAAAGCAACAGCUCUACUCAACAUUAAGUUUUGAAAAAAUAGGAAGGUUAUAUCUUAACAUUGAAAAGAUAAAGAAGUUAUAUUUUAGCCUUUUACUUGUAUUGAUUUUGAUCCAUAGUGAAUUAAAGUCCUUAGCAAACUAAGAGAAAAGAUGUAGACACCAAGGUUACCAAAAAAUACGUUUGUAACUCUUGUAGACUUAUCAUGUAACUUGAUGUAAUCUUAUCCCAACUUAUACUAUACUAAUCAUAUCCUCUUGCCCAAGAGACAUUGCCAUGUUCUAUAAAUUCAUACUCAAUGCAAAGCUAUCAAAUCAUCCUUCUUCAUAAUCAAUUCUUUCUUGUAUUACUCAUAAUUGCCACAUGCAAUGCUUACGUACUUCUAGGCUCAAAUAGAUUUAAUUCUUGGUCAUCUAAUUAAAAUAAUGCAAUGCGCCGUGAACUUGGUUUGAUCAGCCAAAAAAAGAGAAGGAUAUUAAAUAUCAAAAAUAUCUACUUAGGCAUUAAGCAAUGGAUAGAGAUAUUGAACAAAACUUAUCAAAAGUUCCCUUCGUUAAAAAGGAUCCUAACUUGUUGAAAUAAUAAUAAAAAUUACAAGUUUUGAAUUUUUGUAUCUUUUUUUUUUUUCAGUUUGAAACCUAAGGGAAGUAAGUAACAUUCUUUACAAUGUAAAUGGCAAAAUUACAUUACAAUGUUUGGUAACAAAAAAAACCAAUGUAAUAUUACAUAUACAUUAUAUUAAGAUAGCGUUUGGUACUUUAUAAUAUAAUGUGAUUACAGGUAAUGUGAUUGCAGAGAAGAUAACAUUGCAGUGUUUAGUAUAUAAGUAAUAUAAUGAUUAAAAUGCAGAGAAGAUAACAUUGCAGUGUUUAUUUUACAAGUCCUUUACAGGGUAUGUGAUGUUAAUUUUCAAAACUACUCUUAUAUAUUAAAAUACAAGUUUAACAUGUAUUUUUUAUUGUUAAUUUUUAUAUAAUGUCAUUUUUAGAUAUAUUUUAAAUUAAAUAUAUUUUAUUUUUCAUUUCUUAUUACAAGUAUAUAUUUUAUUUUUGUUUUUAAUAUAAUUUCUUAUAUUGUAUAUUUUAUUUUAAAUUUUUUCUUUGAAAGAUAAUAUUUUAUUUUUAUUUCUUAAUACGUUUUAUAUGUAUACAUUAAUGUGAUAGCUUCCUCUCUUGUAACCAAUAGCAAAUCACAAUAAAUUGUGAUAGGGUGCAACCAAAAGUUGAUAUAACGACUGGCAGUAACAACUAAACAUUUUUGCACUCUUUUCUUGCACCUUAAAAUCUAAAAAAAAAAAAAAAAUUACAAUAGUUUCCUACUGUCAAGACCAAUUUUACACUAAACAAAAUAAAAAAAAUGGGAGGUCAAAUCUU